UACGUAGGUGGCAAGCGUUGUCCGGAUUUACUGGGCGUAAAGAGCGCGCAGGCGGUCGUUCAAGUCGCGUGUGAAAGCCCCCGGCUCAACUGGGGAGGGUCACGCGAUACUGAUCGACUCGAAGGCAGGAGAGGGUAGUGGAAUUCCCGGUGUAGUGGUGAAAUGCGUAGAUAUCGGGAGGAACACCAGUGGCGAAGGCGACUACCUGGCCUGUUCUUGACGCUGAGGCGCGAAGGCUAGGGGAGCGAACGGG
This 253-nucleotide ribosomal RNA is filed under the name uncultured bacterium. RNAcentral describes it as "partial 16S ribosomal RNA". It matches the Rfam family "Bacterial small subunit ribosomal RNA", at positions 524 to 776 of the family's 1533-position model. The record is from RNAcentral.